CAGCUCUGAUAGCUAGUGAGGAAAUGGCACAGAAGGGGACACAGGAGUGGGGGCAGACAGACAACAUAAAUCCACAGCCAAAUCCCAACUCUUCCCCCCCUGCACAGCAGCCUGAAGCCCAGCUGCUCUGCACAACCUGCGCUGCCUGGCUG
Long non-coding RNA from Dermochelys coriacea (leatherback sea turtle), 152 nucleotides. RefSeq lists it as uncharacterized. Lineage: Eukaryota; Metazoa; Chordata; Testudines; Dermochelyidae. The record is from RefSeq and is a predicted model, not a curated record. The transcript is spliced from 4 exons.